CGGGAGUUGCAUGGUCUGCAGCUGCCGCUCCUCCCAGUUGCGCUUCGCUGCGCAAAGGACCUCGAUCUAUCAACUAAUAAAACAUUAUGUACCAUUACGUAAUGGCGCAAAGGACCUCGAUCUCCUCCCAUUAGGCCAAUUUGGUAUCAGGUAACCGGGUUUCGACCAUGUCUCCGCCAAUUCCACCGCCACCACCACCGCUGCCCGCCAACUCCUCCACCACCGCCGCCUCUGCGCCGGGCGUCACGGCACCCGGCACCACGCCGGGCCAAGGGCAGCCACAGGCCCCCGUCCAACACUCGUCGCCGCCAUCACCUCCCCCGCAGCCGCAAUAGUUCACGCCGGAGGCCACGGCGGGCGUCCUCAACGACCUCGUCACCGCGGUUCAAGGAAUCCGCCUCUACCUAGCAGGUCCGUACGGGCCGCCCCCACCACUCCAUCCAGCCAUGGCCGCGGGUCAGCAGGCGCUUCCGUGGUACUCGGCAUCGGGGGCCAUCACCGGACUUCAUCCAGCCAUGGCUGCGGGUCAGCAGGCGCUUCCGUGGUACUCGGCAUCGGGGGCCGUCACCGGAGGCUACCCGGCGCUCCCCGCCCCAGCGGCCGCACAGCCGCCUUGGGCGCAGUGGCCGCCGCAGAUCGCGCCGGCAGCCCCGCCACUUCUCGCCACCACGGGGCCGCAGUGGCCCACAUGGACCGCGCCGGCCGCGCCGUCCUCCGUCGCGCCCUACCUUCCAGCGGCCUCAGAGCAGGGUCCUCCACCGGCCCUGCCCAGCCCUAACCUGGGCACCGGCGCCUCGGAGCAGGGCCAGACCCAGCAGCUUCUUCCGGCGUCACCGCCGGCCCCCACGCCGCAGGUGCCGGUGCAGCUCCACCAGGCGCCGCCGCCAUCGACAGUACCACCACCCGCGCCUAGGGCUAUGGGUCGGCCCCUGCACCAGGUGCAGUUUCCACCGUCACCAUCGCCGAUCCCUGCUUGGGCGACCGGCUCGUCUUCGGGGCCGGUCUACUCCACGGCGCCGGAACACCCGACGCCCUCCCUGCGGUUUGAUCACCCCUCCAGCUCGGCGAACUACGCCCCGGCGCUUCCCGACCCAGCAUACGCGCCGACGGCAACUACGGCCGCCCCCGGGCACGGCGGGCCGACACCCCCUCGCUUCGCCAAACUGGACUUCGCCACCUACGAGGGCACGGAGGACCCCCUCAACUGGCUCAACCAGUGCGAGCAGUUCUUUCGAGGGCAGCGGACGCUCGCUUCGGAUCGCACCUGGCUCGCGUCCUAUCAUCUUCGAGGCGCAGCGCAGACCUGGUACUACGCCCUCGAGCAGGACGAGGGCGGCAUGCCACCAUGAGAGCGCUUCCAGGAACUCUAUCUCCUCCAGUUCGGGCCUCCUAUGCGCGGGAGCCGACUGGCGGCCCUCCGCCGCUUACCCUUCACAUCCACGGUGCAGGACUACGCCGACCGCUUCCAGGCCCUGGCGUGCCACGCGCCGGGCGUCUCCGCAACUCAGCGCGCCGAGUUAUUUGUGGGCGGUCUACCGGACCAUAUCCGCGUCGACGUGGAGCUUCGGGGACCCCAGGAUCUCCAGUCGGCCAUGCAUUACGCCCGCGCAUUCGAGCGCCACGCGGUGGCCAUCCAGCAGGAAUCACCGUCCCAGACUGUUGGGUCGCUACCCGGACCGGAUUCCGCGCAGGGUCGGCCUGUGCAGGCUUCUGUGGCACCCCUCGCCGCGACCGCGGGGCGCCCGUUCUACCGGCUCACCCCAGUUGAGAUACUCGAGCGUCGCCGCCAAGGGUUGUGCUUCAACUGCGACAAACCCUACAAGCCCGGCCACGCCUGCCCGCGACUCUUCUACCUGGAGGUGGCAAACUACAUUCCGGAGGACGCCGUCGCCGCCGACCUGGCCGCCCCAGAUGUCGAGAAGGUGUUUGACGCUGGUUGAUUACCUCGAAGAGUUCAAGCAAGCGCUUCCCCACCUUAUAGCUCGAGGACGAGCUAUUUGUGCAGGCGGGGAGAAGUGUUAUGGCCGGCCGGCUUAGGCCCGCAAGUUAUCUUAGUUUUUAUUUUCAGAUUAGGCAAGUUAUCUUAGGCAAGUUAUCUUAGGUUGAUUCUUCUACAAGUUAUCUUAGGUUGAUUCUUCUACAAGUUAUCUGGGAUAUAAAUAUAGGUUGUAAGACUCUUUUGAAGGCAAGCAAUAAGAAGAAUAUUAUCUCCUAUUGCCCGGCUCCCUGAGGAGCCGGAACCCUAGCCGCCAACAGCCCUAGCCGCCGCCCUUCUCCUAGCCGCGACGGCGCCCUGCCGCCAGCGCGCCCGAUCCUCGCCACGUCUCCCUCCAUCCUUCCCUUACCACCUACGCCCUAGACCUGGUAGAGUACUUGAUCCUACCAGGAUCAUUUUCCCAAUAGCACCCAGUUAGAUCUUGUUUGGGGUGACCUCUCCUGACCUCCUCCCAGGUUCCCGGUCUGGAGCGGGAGGGGCGGAAGCUGGCGAGGCCAACCUCCCCUUCAGAGGCAGGUGCUCUCCCUCUCCCCUCUGUGCCCUCUCUCUCUUCCCUGACCCUCUCGAUGGCAAGAGGUUUGGUUUUGGUUUUGCUCCUAGGAGAAGGAGGUUUGAUUUUGGUCCUACUCUACAUUCACUAUUGUUACCUGCACUUUGCCACUCAUGGACACUUUUUGUUUAUUUUUUAUGCAUGUGUGCUGUCGGUGAUAGGAGAGCAAGUCCCUCAAGUUCGUGAGGAAUCCACUCUCAACUUGUUAACACAGGGGUGCUCAACAGGAGAAGCACUCAAUAGGAGAAGCAGGAGCAGCCGAGCGUUCGCCUUCUCUCCCAGUCCCCUACUCACAGAGCUUCUCAUUUUGUUUUUGUAGAUUUGGUUUCUCUAUGUCUACAGGUUGUUUGAUAAAAAUCCAAAAAGGCUGAUAUGAGAUAAUUAAUCUAUGCAAGUCAUGUGAUUUUAUUUUUCUAUAAUUUAGUUCCAGUCAAAGAUAACAAGUUGAGUAGUCCCAUUAAUUUUUCGCAAUUUAGGUAUUGAAGGAGAUCAGAAUGCUUUUAUUUGUAUUUACAUCAUGGGCUUUAUUAUAGAACAACCACAAUGGAGAAAAUUAUCUCAUAUCUUUUGGAUGAUUUGGUUUAAUUGGCUAUUAUACAUGUUCAAGUACAGAAAUGAAUAAUUGCAGCUCCUUCCCGAUUAGGUCGGGUUAAAUGCUUCCCGAAUACAAAUGGUCUCAGGAAAAAGGCAAAUAUGCAAUAAUUUUGUGUUUUUUCAAAGUAAGUAGAGUGGGUUACUACUAAACGAGAGGGCGGGUAGUCAUUUCUUACUUCUGUAAAUAGAAAUCCAAUUGUCUCUUAUUAUGUGUAGGCAUAAAGUUGGAUCUUGGGUGCUUUGCAAGGCCUUUCUAUGUUGUUUUCCUAUUUAUUUUAUUUAUUGUGCUUCCCUUUUUUGGACUACAAUGUACUGGGAGGUGAGGAAAUGAGAUUGAACUACGUGUUUUCUUUUCAGGUAUAUUUGAAGUUAACGAGUUUCCAAUUCCUUGUUGUUGUUAAUGAUAUGAAAGUGCAACCGUGGUUUUUGCUCCCAGCUGAUGCAUACUACUUUGCUUGCAGCUAUCAUCAGCCAUUGUUGAUGGUACUGUCCCUUUUUGAGAACCAAAGAAAUACUGAGUUUUAGCUCAGAUGUAUGUUAGGUGAUGUUUCAUGCCAUUUUUGUUCAUCGGUCUGGCAUGAUUUGGAUUGGAUCACCUGCGGAGGCAGGUUUCAUCACCUCGGACAGAGGGAGUAUAUGAUGUAAUUGACCAUUAUCACUAAGAAGUGCUCCUCGACACAAUGCUCUAUAUUAUCAUGUCUUUAGUGCAUUUUAUUGUUCCACCUGCGUAUAUAGCUACUUGAAUCUUCUAAUUGCAAACUCAAACAUUUGCAUUUUGUUCUUUGUUUCAGUUGGGCUUUUGCGUCAAUUUUAUCAGUUACAUACAUUACAAAUGAGAAAAAUAUAUUUUUAUACAGAUUCACACACUUCGCAAAAGAGUAUACAUCAACAUCGUCUGCUACCAAAAAAAGCAAAGUAAUCUCUUUUAAUUCUUGCUUCAAAUUUGUCUCGCACGCCAAAUGGCG
RNAcentral lists this ribosomal RNA (4105 nucleotides) under Triticum aestivum (bread wheat). RNAcentral describes it as "partial small subunit ribosomal RNA". Lineage: Eukaryota; Viridiplantae; Streptophyta; Magnoliopsida; Poales; Poaceae. The record is from RNAcentral.